This 3412-nucleotide long non-coding RNA is filed under the name Vulpes vulpes (red fox). Its description in RNAcentral is "lncRNA (ENSVVUG00000027040.1)". The record is from RNAcentral. Lineage: Eukaryota; Metazoa; Chordata; Mammalia; Carnivora; Canidae.
CACAUGCGUGGCUGCCCACCCCUGCAAGGAGUCAUUCCCACCAGAAGUUUCCUUGCCCAUCCCUCAUGGGUUGGGGCAUCCACCUGCAGCCUGGGCCUUUGAGCUGAAGGCUGAAUUUAGAAGAAACGAUUUCAGGGUUCUGCUGCUUUUCUGAGAUGAGGGUCUCCUGGGGAGGAGGGCUCAUGAUUGGUGCAUCUGGGAAGAUAGACAGCAUGGAGCCGGGGGCCACCUGGCCUGCUCCCCCAUACACCUGGGCCUGCAUAGAAUCUGCCAACUCUGGGAGGCCUUUCCUUUGAUAGAUUCUACUGAAACAAUUGGACUUGUCAGGACCCAUCAGGGAAGGCUGGUUUCAGGCAGUGAAUUGAAUUUGCAAGCAAGAUAAUCAGUUAUUGAUUGGAAGGGCGAGCCAUGGCUCCUGCCUGCUUCUGAGGAAAUGAACUUCUUCUCUUUCUAGAAUAUUUACUGGUGGGAGUGAAGCAGUGAUCACUUACGCCGAGACAGCCAGAGUCAGCUUUGCAGAAGUGAUGUGGAGGGAGCCACAUCCAUGAUAUUUACGAUUUGCUGUGGGGAGCUAGGGUGGCGGCUUCCAUGUCCCUCUGACACGUCUUGGCUGAGAGGCGCUCAGUUGAGGAGGCUCAGGCAGCAGGUGCACGUGUGUGCUGGGCCUGGCACCCCGUCCAACCUCAGACCUGCAAGCUCCCCCAGACCUCCUCCAGCCCUGUGCAAGGUCUGUGUGACUAGAGAGCACCCUCAUCUGCAGCCUGUGCCCCCCCCCUCCCCCAUUUACUUCAUGCUCUGGGUUUUAGCAUUUCCAUCCCUAAGGCCCUGAGCCUAUUUCUAGGGCAGACUCGAGUCCAUCCUCCAUGGACAGAAGAGAGGGAGCAAAGGGGUUCUGAGUGUGGCCAGAGCUUGGUCUGUGGUGCUUACCCGAGGCCAGGCUGCUUCCUGCACAGCUCAGAUCUAGGAUGGGAGAGAUGGGGGUGGUCAGGGGCAGGGCCAGGGCCCAGGGCAGCUCUCCCCUUGCUGCCCUGCGUAUUCUGAUGCUUCAUUUGGGGUGGAGAAUUCUGAACUUGAGCCUGGCCUUUGGGGUCGUUGGUAAGUCUGUCUGUCAAUGUGGGAGGCCAGAACAUGUUGGAAGCUUGCUGGCCUGACGUGCUGCGGGCCUCGUUUGUACUCUUGCCCUCAGCCUGCAGGAGUUUGGGGGCCUUAUGUUUAGCUGGUGAGUAAAGGAACGAAACAACUUCACACAGCACAUUGUCUGCUUUCCCCAGGUUCUGUGGCCGGAGGCUGGCGACUGCAUAGACUGUGCUUCUAUGCAUCAGGCAGAUUGAAGUCCACUAUUAGGAGCUUUCUGAUUCAAAAUCCAGGUCUCCCCUUCCUCUCUGGAUGGACCAUCAGGGGCCCAGUCCUGGCAGGAUAAUAUGCUCCCAGGUGACCUUUUCCGUGGUGGCUUCAUCUUUGCCCGGUGGGACUUUGGAGAAAGCUUGCUGAGCUUACAUCCCCCUCGUUCACGGGAGGCUUUAUGCUGAGGGCUGAGCACAGCACCGGCACCCAUUCUCCAUCCUGUGCAGAGGUUUUGUGUCUUGGUGUUCUGAAGUGAUGCUGCCUUCUCUUGAUUCCUGGCCACGUCCCAUGAAAAGGGCGAGGGAAUUCUACGACUGGAUCCCAGGCUGGCCGGAGACCUGGGCGGAGUGGUAUUUGUGUUUAUUCUGGAGGGAGCCCUUUCUAUCUGCAAAUAUUAACUAAUCCUUGGCUUCACUCAGAGGGAGACUUGGCGAGCAGGACAAAGGUGGGGGCCUGGGUCAGGAGCGGAAUCCAAGAGCAGCAUGCAAAGUCCUCUGGGGAGCAGGAUCAAUAUACACAGCUAAUCCCCAGGCCUCUGAUCAUCCCCCGGCUCAUCAGAGUGUGGCCUCUGGUCCCUGGAAUGCCCAGAGAACUGGGAAUACUGCCUCAUUAAUUUUCUGGUCACCUUGGGGUAGGCUGGGGGAAAGGAACUCCUCCCCUUUGCAGAUUUUGUUGUGGAAAAUCACUGAGCGUGGUUCCCUUCCUGGCCUUGGGAAGCCAGCUGUAGGGCCGAGAUGGAGUCUGGGGGUGGUGGUGGUGGUCAGGUCCUCCUUCGGAAAGCAGUUUCUCGAGGGGCGGGUGCCGGAGGUGUAGGGGUUUGGUGUGCUUCUCUUCUGGCCCCAGGACAUAGCCCUUGGCUCUUUCAUGUUUCCAACAAGCCCUCCGGUAUGAGUUAGCUGAUCUUGUCAGCUGCCUUUCUCACCCCAAAAGCGGGAUGGGGUAAACCACUCCCCAGUAACGCCAGAAUGUUGCCAGCUGUUCUCGGCGAUUGAAGCUGCGCUGAAUUCUGUUUUGUUUUCUUUCCCACCCUCCUGGAUGGUGGCGAGGGGGAGAGGAUAUAUGUCCAGCAGUCACUGCCAAUUGGAUGUGGGGGAAGGGAAGCUGGGGGUGCUCCUUAAGCUGGGUCUGAAGCUGGGCCACUGCUCUGGGCUGAAUCAUGUCCCCCAAAUUUUCCUGGGGUGAAGUCCCAGCCCCAGGGCCUCAUAAUGCAAAUGUAUUUGGAGACAGGGUCUUUAAAGAGGUGAUUAAGUUAAAACGAGGCCACUAGGCCCUAAUCCAAUCUGACUGAUGUCCUUAUAAGAAGAAAACAGGAUGCUCUCAAACAGAGCAAGGGCCUUGCGAGGACAGUGAGAAGACUGCCAUCUGCAAAGCAAGGAGAGAGGUCUUAGGGGACACAGACCCUGACCACACCUUGAUCUUGGACUCCAGAACUAUAAGCAAAGCACAUUUAUCUGGUUUGAGUCACCCAGGCUGUAGGACUUUGUUUUGCCAGCCUGAGUGCACAGAUGCAGGCACCCUGGGCUUGAUGUGGUGCCGUGGGAAAUCCUCUUGCACGGAUGCCCUGGGAUGGCAGCAGCUUCUGGGGUGUCUGUGCCCAGCACCCCUCUUCCCCCUGAAGGGCUGCCCCUCCUCCGUCCCACCUGCUCCUGGGAGAUGUCGCACACCAGCCCUGCCAAGCCUCCAGCAGCUGGCCCAGCUGGAACGCCGAGUUCAGGGUAUGUGGGGCAACUGCUCAUUUUUCUCCACUAAUAGAACCCCAUUGGAGAGCCGUGGGCUGGGAGAGCUGCCUUAGACAAUUUCCUGUUCCACGAAUGCUAAUAUUCCAACCAACUGGCCUCAAGUGAGAAAUACGUAAUUAACUGAAAGAAGAUCACUUUUAAAUCAUCCCCAGGCACCAAUUUUGGAGACCAGCUCCAGGGCUGGAUGGGCUGUGGGCUUGGCCCAGGGCGGCUAUCCUUAUUUUCUUAACUAACAGGAAAGGACAUGUAGUCAGGGCAAGGAAAUGUGUCUCCGUGAGUUUUUUAAGGGACAAAAUAAAUGUGUCCAAAAUUCUGAUGAUAGAAUUCUC